RNAcentral lists this ribosomal RNA (550 nucleotides) under uncultured bacterium. Its description in RNAcentral is "bacterial SSU rRNA". It matches the Rfam family "Bacterial small subunit ribosomal RNA", at positions 355 to 896 of the family's 1533-position model. The record is from RNAcentral.
UAGGGAAUCUUCGGCAAUGGACGGAAGUCUGACCGAGCAACGCCGCGUGAGUGAAGAAGGUUUUCGGAUCGUAAAGCUCUGUUGUAAGAGAAGAACGAGUGUGAGAGUGGAAAGUUCACACUGUGACGGUAUCUUACCAGAAAGGGACGGCUAACUACGUGCCAGCAGCCGCGGUAAUACGUAGGUCCCGAGCGUUAUCCGGAUUUAUUGGGCGUAAAGCGAGCGCAGGCGGUUAGAUAAGUCUGAAGUUAAGGGCUGUGGCUUAACCAUAGUAGGCUUUGGAAACUGUUUAACUUGAGUGCAAGAGGGGAGAGUGGAAUUCCAUGUGUAGCGGUGAAAUGCGUAGAUAUAUGGAGGAACACCGGUGGCGAAAGCGGCUCUCUGGCUUGUAACUGACGCUGAGGCUCGAAAGCGUGGGGAGCAAACAGGAUUAGAUACCCUGGUAGUCCACGCUGUAAACGAUGAGUGCUAGGUGUUAGACCCUUUCCGGGGUUUAGUGCCGUAGCUAACGCAUUAAGCACUCCGCCUGGGGAGUACGACCGCAAGGUUG